GACGAACGCUGGCGGCGUGCUUAACACAUGCAAGUCGAACGGAAAGGCCCUGCUGUUGUGGGGUGCUCGAGUGGCGAACGGAUGGGUAACAAGUGAGUAACCUGCCCUUGACUUUGGGAUAACUUCAGGAAACUGAGGCUAAUUACGGAUGGGAGCCCCUGCUUCUUGGUGGGGGUUGGAAUGUUUGGUCGGUUGGGGAUGGACUGGCGGCUUAUUAGCUUGUUGGUGGGGUAGUGGCUUACCAAGGCUUUGACGGGUAGCCGGCCUGUGAGGGGGACCGGCCACAUUGGGACUGAGAUACGGACCAGACUCCUACGGGAGGCAGCAGUGGGGAAUAUUGCACAAUGGGCGGAAGCCUGAUGAAGCAACGCCGCGUGCGGGAUGACGGCCUUCGGGUUGUAAACCGCUUUCGCCUGUGACGAAGCGUGAGUGACGGUAAUGGGUAAAGAAGCACCGGCUAACUACGUG
RNAcentral lists this ribosomal RNA (468 nucleotides) under uncultured bacterium. RNAcentral's name for it is "partial 16S ribosomal RNA". It matches the Rfam family "Bacterial small subunit ribosomal RNA", at positions 28 to 507 of the family's 1533-position model. The record is from RNAcentral.